GAAAUGCGAUAAGUAAUGUGAAUUGCAGAAUUCCGUGAAUCAUCGAAUCUUUGAACGCACAUUGCGCCCGCUAGUAUUCUGGCGGGCAUGCCUGUUCGAGCGUCAUUUCAACCCUCAAGCCCCCGGGCUUGGUGUUGGGGUUCGGCCCGCCCCUAGCGGCGCGCCGUCCCCGAAAUCUAGUGGCGGUCUCGCGAUAGCCUCCUCUGCGUAGUAGCAAUAUCUCGCACUGGGACUGAGCAAGGCCACGCCGUUAAACCCCCCACUUCUGAAGGUUGACCUCGGAUCAGGUAGGAAUACCCGCUGAACUUAA
This 310-nucleotide unclassified non-coding RNA is filed under the name uncultured Microcera. RNAcentral describes it as "sequence contains ITS1". The stretch from base 1 to 105 matches the Rfam family "5.8S ribosomal RNA", at positions 50 to 154 of the family's 154-position model. Lineage: Eukaryota; Fungi; Ascomycota; Sordariomycetes; Hypocreales; Nectriaceae. The record is from RNAcentral.